This 1454-nucleotide long non-coding RNA is filed under the name Equus asinus (donkey). RNAcentral describes it as "lncRNA (ENSEASG00005037303.1)". Lineage: Eukaryota; Metazoa; Chordata; Mammalia; Perissodactyla; Equidae. The record is from RNAcentral.
CCUGCAGGCGUCCCGAGGGGCAGGAUCGUCUCCGGAGCCGACCGUGCCAGGGCUGGGCCACGGAAGGCGGAGCUGCAGCAUGUGGAGGCCCUUUGUGGACAGGUGCACGGGCCCAUCUCUCUCCGAGGCGCUACCUGCGGUUUACUGGACGUUUAUUAGAAGCCCACGCAAUAUCGUGAAGCACCUGCAGGCAAUAAAACCCUUUACAUGUGUGAGGCCUUGAGGAAAUUAACGGCUCCUCCCUGGGGAUGCAUAUUUCGUGAAGAUGUUUAUUACAGAUGAAGUGCUCCCGGGGUGGAACAUUAACAAGUUGUAGAGUGAUAAAAGGAUUUUUAUCCUUUUUCAGUGACAGAGGUAGGAAGAACGCUUUAACGGAAUCUAUAAAAGGCCCACUUCCUAAUGAAUUUUCUUUACUCUUUAUUAAUAGGGUCGGCUGAGCGGAGUCAGGGUCCUUGGAUGGCUGGACCACUGGACAAGGGGAAUGGAGCCGACUGGAGCGGGUGCGGGGCCUGGAUGCUGGACAGAGAACGCGUGAGGACGGUCUGGGUUCGAAUUCCAGGCACUGAAGACCACGGGGAGCCUGGGUGGGUGAUGAACACGUUCCGCCCCAGGAAAUCAUUUGGAGGCCGCUCCAGGUGAUGGGGUGAGUCAGGCCAAAAGGCAGGUUCCAAGCCCCUCUUUUUAACCCCCUGUUCCCCGCUCCGGCCUGCAGGCCAUUACCGAGAUGAAAGCCGGGAGAAUGCCUUUGGCCCAGGACUGCGGAAUCUAAUUGAAUUAUAUGAACGCAGUUAAACGUCGGCUUCAGAGAGGCAGGCCUCGCUUUCAAGACUGGAUGCUUCAGGAGUUAAUGGGCUAUUUGAACAAUAUAGGCCAAGAGCCGAACACAGCCCUUCUCCCUACUGCGGUCACUGACGUUCCAAGAGGCCAGUCUGAUGGCAUCAGGCCCUGCUGAACAACUGCUGUGGCUCCCCACUGCCCUCAGAGGAGAGUUCAGACUCCGUCUUGGCUUCCGACGUUCUUCCUGUUGCCUCGAGUCUCAUCUCUCACUCUCAUCUUCACGCCUCCUGGGUCCCUCCUCUGCUUGUUGUGGACCGUCAGCCAGGAAUGCCUCCUCCUAACCCCUAGGGACCCCGCUUCUCCCUUACCUGCCAGGCCCAGUUCAAAUGCAGCCUCCUCCAGGAAGCCUUCCUUUUCUGCCUGGAUCAGAUUCCUGUGACUGUAUAUAUGUCUUAUCAUUGGCCCCCUCCCUCCACUAGGCCAUGAAGACCUUGAGGGCAGGAUCCAUGUUCAUUAUUAUCAUAAAAAGAAGUUUAACACACUACUGGUUCCCACUUGUCAAGCAUGUCCUGAACACCAGGUGCUUUACAAGCAUUGGCUUGUUAAACCUCCGCAGCACCCUGUUUUAUUGUCCCCAUUUUACAGAUGAGGAAACUGAGGCUCAGAGACAGGAAGUU